Molecule: long non-coding RNA, 228 nt
Filed under: Capsicum annuum
Lineage: Eukaryota; Viridiplantae; Streptophyta; Magnoliopsida; Solanales; Solanaceae
Description: long non-coding RNA (CANN_LNC018405)
Source: RNAcentral
UAUGAUGUAAAAGAGAAAAAUCAAAAUGUUUUAUGGUGUUCUCUUUGGAUGAUAAACAAUUCAAAUUUAGAUGUUGUUUAGGGUGUUGGUUUGAUGCUAGUUACACAGUUGGUUUAGCAGCAGCUAUUGUCCAUUUUAAUGGUGAAAGACGGUGGUGGAAGGUUGGCGAAGGAGUCAGCCGAUGUUAAUGGUGUUUGGGUUGAUUACAUUUUUUUUUUAUGAAAGAUU